Long non-coding RNA from Neocloeon triangulifer, 305 nucleotides. RefSeq lists it as uncharacterized. The transcript is spliced from 3 exons. NCBI's taxonomy places the organism in Eukaryota, Metazoa, Arthropoda, Insecta, Ephemeroptera, Baetidae. The record is from RefSeq and is a predicted model, not a curated record.
CAUCAAGACAAUCGCAACAGCAUUAUACUGGCCACUCGAAAUCUGGCGCGUCAACAUCCUUUUUGUGAUAAGAGUGUUGCAUAUAAAAGCUCUACAAACCACCAUUUUUCGCAAAUUCCACUGAGAACUUCAAAGAGACAGACGCGGAGCAUGAAAUUUUUCCGAGUAGGUGCAUUGAUUGCACCGCUGGUGCUGGUCCUUCUGGCUACCAAUGUGCAUUCCAGGGCCACCCGUGAUCUAAUUAUUUUGCCCAGCGGCGGUGGUGGCGGCGGCGGAGGCGGCGGUGGUGGUGGUGGUGGCGGCGG